RNAcentral lists this unclassified non-coding RNA (200 nucleotides) under Hevea brasiliensis (rubber tree). Lineage: Eukaryota; Viridiplantae; Streptophyta; Magnoliopsida; Malpighiales; Euphorbiaceae. The record is from RNAcentral.
GCCAUUGCUGGAAGAAUGUUUAAUGAUAUCCCAAAGGAUGCAUUUCCUUCAGGACCUGGAACCAAUACUGAGGAAAUCCGUGAAUUACAAGAACUUCAGAAGACAUUGUACACAUUUCUGCAUGUGAUAACGACGCACGGUCUAUCCUCAAUCUUCCUUUCACCCAAAAGUAGGGUCUACUUGGAUUCUUUGAUGCAGUU